This 29-nucleotide non-coding RNA is filed under the name Mus musculus (house mouse). Lineage: Eukaryota; Metazoa; Chordata; Mammalia; Rodentia; Muridae. The record is from RNAcentral.
UCCUAACCGACACUGAGGGCAGUUGAGGA